AAGAAUGUCCUAAGAUAACAUUUCCCAUCAAAGUUUCGAUUUGAUCACAUCCAUAUUUUAUAUACGUGUUUAUGAGAAUAUAUUUAUUUAUCUGACAUUCAU
Molecule: small nucleolar RNA, 102 nt
Organism: Nylanderia fulva
Lineage: Eukaryota; Metazoa; Arthropoda; Insecta; Hymenoptera; Formicidae
Product: small nucleolar RNA snR87
Source: RefSeq, a predicted model, not a curated record